CGGGGGAGGUCGGAUCCUGGGCUGUGUCCCUGGCGCCCAGUGUUCCCGGGCCUGCUCUGUUGUAUUCACGUUCCCGCCGGGUAGCCCCG
This 89-nucleotide microRNA precursor is filed under the name Canis lupus familiaris (dog). RNAcentral's name for it is "mir-8799 microRNA precursor family". It matches the Rfam family "mir-8799 microRNA precursor family". Lineage: Eukaryota; Metazoa; Chordata; Mammalia; Carnivora; Canidae. RNAcentral also lists the same sequence under 1 other name. The record is from Rfam by way of RNAcentral.